Molecule: ribosomal RNA, 253 nt
Filed under: uncultured bacterium
Lineage: Bacteria
Description: partial 16S ribosomal RNA
Rfam family: Bacterial small subunit ribosomal RNA
Source: RNAcentral
UACGAAGGGGGCUAGCGUUGUUCGGAAUUACUGGGCGUAAAGCGCACGUAGGCGGAUUUGUAAGUCAGGGGUGAAAUCCCGGGGCUCAACCUCGGAACUGCCUUUGAUACUGCAGAUCUCGAGUCCGGAAGAGGUGAGUGGAAUUCCUAGUGUAGAGGUGAAAUUCGUUGAUAUUAGGAAGAACACCAGUGGCGAAGGCGGCUCACUGGUCCGGUUCUGACGCUGAGGUGCGAAAGCGUGGGGAGCAAACAGG